UUGAAAAGUAAAUAAUUAAUAUACUCAAAAAAGAACAUACCGCCCCCUUUAUGAAGCAAAAUAUUCGGUCAAUAAAUGUUUUCUUCAAUAUAUGGACAUGAAUAGUAUUUUGGACAAUGCUGAAAGUAAAGAAAUGAUGAUACUGACGUGUAUAUUUCAAUAAAAAUAAGACAGGAAAUAAGUAAAUAAAAAUCAAAUCUUAUCAAAAGAUAAAAUCCCUAUCAACUCACCAAUAGACG
Molecule: long non-coding RNA, 239 nt
Filed under: Mytilus galloprovincialis (Mediterranean mussel)
Lineage: Eukaryota; Metazoa; Mollusca; Bivalvia; Mytilida; Mytilidae
Source: RNAcentral